AGUGAACGCUGGCGGUAUGCCUAACACAUGCAAGUCGAACGGCAGCACGGGAUACCUUCCUCUCUGGAGUUCGAGAGGGGUACGUGAGACAAAUACAUGUGAACCGUACUUUUCGUUGGGUCUACCGUAGGGAAACUUACACUAAUACCGCAUACGACCUACGGGUGAAAGUGCUUGACCGCAAGGCCUCACGCAAUUAGCUAAGCCGAGGUCCGAUUAGCUAGUUGGAGGGGUAAAGGCCUACCAAGGCGACGAUCGGUAGCUGGUCUGAGAGGAUGAUCAGCCACACUGGAACUGAGACACGGUCCAGACUCCUACGGGAGGCAGCAGUGGGGAAUUUUGGACAAUGGGCGCAAGCCUGAUCCAGCAAUGCCGCGUGGGUGAAGAAGGCCUUCGGGUUGUAAAGCACUUUUGUUGGGAAAGAAAACCUGUGGAUUAAUACUCGGUGGCGAUGACGGUACCCAAAGAAUAAGCACCGGCUAACUUCGUG
Molecule: ribosomal RNA, 490 nt
Filed under: uncultured bacterium
Lineage: Bacteria
Description: partial 16S ribosomal RNA
Rfam family: Bacterial small subunit ribosomal RNA
Source: RNAcentral